UGACGUUGAAAAGUCUUUGGAUGACUUGUGGUAAGGGGUGAAAGGCCAACCAAAUUCGUAGAUAGCUGGUUUUCCGCGAAAACUAUUUAGGUAGUGCGUUGAAUAAAUAGACAUUUAGAGGUAGAGCACUAAAUGGGCUAGGGGGAAGAGAUUCUUACCAAACCUAAUAAAACUCCGAAUGCUAAAUGUUGUUCUUCAGCAGACAGACUGUGGGUGCUAAGGUCCAUGGUCGAGAGGGAAAGAGCCCAGACCACCAGAUAAGGUCCCCAAAUUAUGAUUAAGUGUGAAAGGAUGUGGAAAUUCCUUAACAGCCGGGAGGUUGGCUUAGAAGCAGCCAUCCUUUAAAGAUAGCGUAACAGCUCACCGGUCUAAUAGAGUUUCUGCGCCGAAGAUGUAACGGGGCUAAAAUCAUAUACCGAAUCUGUGGAUUUGUAAUUUUUUCGAAAAUUACAACUGGUAGCGGAACGUUCUGUAAGCCUGUGAAGGGAUAUCCGUGAGGAAUCCUGGAGGUAUCAGAAGUGCGAAUGCUGACAUAAGUAACGAUAAAAGAAGUGAAAAACUUCUUCGCCGAAAAUCCAAGGGUUUCUGCGCAAGGUUAAUCCGCGCAGAGUUAGUCGGCACCUAAGGCGAGGGCGAAAGCCGUAGUCGAUGGAAAUAAGGUUAAUAUUCCUUAACCAGAUGGUAGUGACGGAUCUUGUAAGUUGUGAGUUCUUAAUGGAUUGAGCUUGCCGCGAAAAGGUUCCAAGAAAUAGCUCCAUCAUUAGACCGUACCCUAAACCGACACAGGUGGAUUAAUAGAGUAUAUUUAGGCGCUUGAGAGAAUGAUGUUGAAGGAACUCGGCAAAAUACUUCCGUAACUUCGGGAUAAGGAAGACCUUCUUGUAGGCAACUAUAUGAGGGUGGCACAAGCCAGGGAGAAGCGACUGUUUAUCAAAAACACAGGGCUCUGCUAACACGUAAGUGGAUGUAUAGGGUCUGACGCCUGCCCGGUGCUGGAAGGUUAAUGCGGUUGGUGCAAGCUAACUUCUGAAGCCCCAGUAAACGGCGGCCGUAACUAUAACGGUCCUAAGGUAGCGAAAUUCCUUGUCGGGUAAGUUCCGACCUGCAUGAAUGGCGUAACGAUUUCUCCGCUGUCUCCAACAUCAACUCAGUGAAAUUGAAUUCUCCGUGAAGAUGCGGAGUUCGCGUAGUUAGACGGAAAGACCCCGUGCA
Molecule: ribosomal RNA, 1212 nt
Filed under: marine metagenome
Description: bacterial LSU rRNA
Rfam family: Bacterial large subunit ribosomal RNA
Source: RNAcentral